UUUUAAUGGCGAUUUACGGUCUCAACAAUAUUUAUUUCUAUUUGAUGCAUAAACUCUAAAUCUGGAAUAUAAAUAGCUAAUAUUUCUGAAUUUUAUCUGCAGAUGAAGGCUUGAAUCUGGAGCAUGGGAACCUCUCGAAUUCUGCAAAAGCAACAAAUAAAUGGUUUGUGAAUAUUCCAGAUUUAUAGGAAAAAUUGAUAAAAGUAACUAAUAUUUAUUUAUAAAUUUUCUCAACAGAUCAAUGGAGCACGGAAGAUCUGCAAAAGCAUCAAUCUUUCAAUGGAGCAUGGAAGAUCUACAAAAGCCACAAAAAAAUUAUUUUAGUGUAUAUUCAAGAUUGGAGCAUGGAAGAUCUACAAAAGUCCACAAAAAAAUUGUUUUAGUGUAUAUUCAAGAUUUACAGCAAGUAGGUAUAAAGAAGAAGAAACGGUAUAUUCAAGAUUUACAGCAAGUAGGCAUCAAGAAGAAGAAUUACAUAUCAUCCCUUAAAGGGUUUCCUCAUGUUAAUUUUUCAGUAAAAAAAUAAAGCAAUACAUUAUAAUCACAUGCAAAUACAUAUAUACAUUUCGAUAUUUCGAUAGGUUUCAAAUCCAAUAAUUUAUUGUAUAUUAUCUUUCAUUUUCAUUAGUUUUUCAUUUAUAUAAUAUUGAAAUAGUUUCAUUAUGUAUAUUUAUUUUCCUUUUAGCAUGCGUUCCUAUCUGUGCCAUAACUUUUCAUUUACUGCUUUUGCUUUCCAUCUAAAGCCAGACUCAUCAGAAUUGUGAAAAUAGUGUCAAAUAGCAAGUUAGAGAAAAUAUUUUAAAUCACAAAAAAUCUGAUCUAAAUUUUUUAAGAUAGUGAUGAUACUUUUUUUUCAAAAAAAGCUGCGAGUGCUUGACAGAGACCAACGGUGGUAGUGGACUUGCCUUCACAACGGAGUGAUACCCCCAACAACCACCCAAUACAGAUCUCGACUUCCUCCAUGUUCAACCAGCGCCGACACCAACACCUGAAAAUUAACUCUUUUUUAGUACAGACAAAGAGAUAAAACAAAAGUUAGAACUAUGCAACAAAAAAAGUUCGAACACAAAUAGGGAAACUGUGUCAAAAGAGUAGAUGAUUGCUAAUUAUUUAUCGAAGAUGAUGAAAGAGGAGUAUAGAGUAGAUUCAUACUAAUCUGCAAAAAAAAAGGAAAAAAAAACUAUUCUUUUAAGAACCCAUUUGUGUAGAUAUUCGUAGAUCUAACAAAAUAAUACCAUAAACACAAAAAAAAAAACUCAAAAACGAAAAAACUAAUAUGGCUACAAAAUUAGAGAUCUUAUUCGGUGUUAAUUAAAAANAAGCUCAUCGGCAGAAAAAAAAAAAUUAUUCUUUUCAAAUGAUAUUCGUAUAUCUACAAAAAUGAUACUAUAAAAACAAAAAACAAAAAAUAAUAAACGAAAAAAAAUUAGAUCUUAUGCAGAGGGAGGCGGCGAGAGUCGUCGACAGGAACUUGGGCGACGCCGUCGUUUGAAACCCGGACGUCGGCAGCUGGAUACGGGCUGUGCAGAGGGAGGCGGCGAGAGUCGUCGACAGGAACUUCACUCCGGCUCCUCCACCACCGUACGAAGAUGUGGUGGCGUUAGCGGCUGCUUCUCCUUUUUCGCUGUCAGUAUUUUCGUCCGAUUCUGAAAUUUAGGUGUUCAGAGAGAAGAGGUGAGAGGGGGCGAAAGCUAGGGUUUUAUUUUUGGGAGUGGCCAAAGAAAACGAUGCAGACGAGGGAGAAGAGAAAAAGGGAAUAUGGAGAAGGCUGGAAGAAGGUGAAUAUGGAGAAGCGGGAAUUGAAGGGGAAAUGAUGCAGACGAGGGAGGAGGAAAAGGGAAGAUCUGGAGUUUGGAAGUUUCGAGAUAGCAGCGCCGCUCAUGUGUGGUAAACCCUCAAAUGAGAGAAGUAUUAUGUACACCCUAAAAUGAGGGAGUAAUUAAUUAAUAGUUGGGCUUUAUCUAUGGGCUUAUUGUGGGCUAGCCAUUUACAC
This 1993-nucleotide long non-coding RNA is filed under the name Salvia miltiorrhiza (redroot sage). Its description in RNAcentral is "long non-coding RNA (SMIL_LNC007658)". Lineage: Eukaryota; Viridiplantae; Streptophyta; Magnoliopsida; Lamiales; Lamiaceae. The record is from RNAcentral.